CCCUUAGAUGUUCUGGGCCGCACGCGCGCUACACUGACGAAUGCAACGAGCUUAUAACCUUGGCCGAAAGGUCUGGGUAAUCUCCAAAUUUCGUCGUGAUGGGGAUAGAUUAUUGCAAUUAUUAAUCUUCAACGAGGAAUGCCUAGUAAGCGCAAGUCAUCAGCUUGCGUUGAUUACGUCCCUGCCAUUUGUACACACCGCCCGUCGCUCCUACCGAUUGAAUGGUCCGGUGAAGCGUUCGGACCGUGGCCUUUGGACGGUUCGCCGUCUGUUGGCUGCGGGAAGUUCGUUAAACCUUAUCAUUUAGAGGAAGGAGAAGUCGUAACA
This 327-nucleotide ribosomal RNA is filed under the name uncultured eukaryote. RNAcentral describes it as "partial 18S ribosomal RNA". It matches the Rfam family "Eukaryotic small subunit ribosomal RNA", at positions 1470 to 1796 of the family's 1831-position model. The record is from RNAcentral.